Molecule: transfer RNA, 74 nt
Filed under: Cajanus cajan (pigeon pea)
Lineage: Eukaryota; Viridiplantae; Streptophyta; Magnoliopsida; Fabales; Fabaceae
Description: tRNA gene-KK1_016534
Source: RNAcentral
UGGCCCAUGCAGGUCUCGAACCUGCGACCUUGGCGUUAUUAGCACCACGCUCUAACCAACUGAGCUAAUAGGCC